RNAcentral lists this ribosomal RNA (253 nucleotides) under uncultured bacterium. Its description in RNAcentral is "partial 16S ribosomal RNA". It matches the Rfam family "Bacterial small subunit ribosomal RNA", at positions 524 to 776 of the family's 1533-position model. The record is from RNAcentral.
UACGUAGGGGGCAAGCGUUGUCCGGAAUCAUUGGGCGUAAAGAGCGUGUAGGUUGUUCGAUAAGUCUGCUGUGAAAGUCCAGGGCUCAACCCUGGGAUGCCGGUGGAUACUGUCUGACUAGAGUACGGAAGAGGCGAGUGGAAUUCCCGGUGUAGCGGUGAAAUGCGUUGAUAUGUGUCGGAACACCAAUGGCGAAAGCAAUCUCCUGGACGCAAACUGACGCUGAGAUACGAAAGCCAAGGUAGCAAACAGG